This 490-nucleotide ribosomal RNA is filed under the name uncultured bacterium. RNAcentral's name for it is "partial 16S ribosomal RNA". It matches the Rfam family "Bacterial small subunit ribosomal RNA", at positions 30 to 507 of the family's 1533-position model. The record is from RNAcentral.
AUUGAACGCUGGCGGCAGGCCUAACACAUGCAAGUCGAACGGUAACAGGAAGCAGCUUGCUGCUUUGCUGACGAGUGGCGGACGGGUGAGUAAUGUCUGGGAAACUGCCUGAUGGAGGGGGAUAACUACUGGAAACGGUAGCUAAUACCGCAUAACGUCGCAAGACCAAAGAGGGGGACCUUCGGGCCUCUUGCCAUCGGAUGUGCCCAGAUGGGAUUAGCUAGUAGGUGGGGUAACGGCUCACCUAGGCGACGAUCCCUAGCUGGUAUGAGAGGAUGACCAGCCACACUGGAACUGAGACACGGUCCAGACUCCUACGGGAGGCAGCAGUGGGGAAUAUUGCACAAUGGGCGCAAGCCUGAUGCAGCCAUGCCGCGUGUAUGAAGAAGGCCUUCGGGUUGUAAAGUACUUUCAGCGGGGAGGGAGGGAGUAAAGUUAAUACCUUUGCUCAUUGACGUUACCCGCAGAAGAAGCACCGGCUAACUCCGUG